RNAcentral lists this ribosomal RNA (254 nucleotides) under uncultured bacterium. Its description in RNAcentral is "partial 16S ribosomal RNA". It matches the Rfam family "Bacterial small subunit ribosomal RNA", at positions 524 to 776 of the family's 1533-position model. The record is from RNAcentral.
UACGUAGGGAGCAAGCGUUGUCCGGAAUCAUUGGGCGUAAAGAGCUCGUAGGCGGUGUGUCGCGUCGGCCGUGAAAACCUGGGGCUCAACUCUGGGCGUGCGGUCGAUACGGGCAUCACUUGAGUUCGGCAGGGGAGACUGGAAUUCCUGGUGUAGCGGUGAAAUGCGCAGAUAUCAGGAGGAACACCGGUGGCGAAGGCGGGUCUCUGGGCCGAUACUGACGCUGAGGAGCGAAAGCAUGGGUAGCGAACAGG